UACCAUGAUGAGGGCAUUUCCAUAAUAAUUCCUUAAAUCGUUCCUAUGCCUCAUACAAGGAAUCAUCACCAAGUUGCUGAAACAGAACCUAGCGGUAAGGAA
This 102-nucleotide small nucleolar RNA is filed under the name Gossypium hirsutum (cotton). RNAcentral describes it as "Plant small nucleolar RNA R71". It matches the Rfam family "Plant small nucleolar RNA R71". From Rfam's summary of the family: R71 is a member of the C/D box family of snoRNAs containing the C (UGAUGA) and D (CUGA) box motifs. Multiple nearly identical copies of this snoRNA have been identified in Arabidopsis, and it is thought to function as a 2'-O-ribose methylation guide for 18S ribosomal RNA. The record is from Rfam by way of RNAcentral. Lineage: Eukaryota; Viridiplantae; Streptophyta; Magnoliopsida; Malvales; Malvaceae.